UACGGAGGAUGCGAGCGUUAUCCGGAUUUAUUGGGUUUAAAGGGUGCGUAGGCGGAUCGUUAAGUCAGUGGUCAAAUUGAGGGGCUCAACCCCUUCCCGCCAUUGAAACUGGCGAUCUUGAGUGGAAGAGAAGUAUGCGGAAUGCGUGGUGUAGCGGUGAAAUGCAUAGAUAUCACGCAGAACCCCGAUUGCGAAGGCAGCAUGCCGGCUUCCUACUGACGCUGAGGCUCGAAAGUGUGGGGAGCAAACAGG
Molecule: ribosomal RNA, 252 nt
Filed under: uncultured bacterium
Lineage: Bacteria
Description: partial 16S ribosomal RNA
Rfam family: Bacterial small subunit ribosomal RNA
Source: RNAcentral